Myotis daubentonii (Daubenton's bat) is the source of this 2106-nucleotide RNA transcript. It is a transcript of the gene named GTPase IMAP family member 4-like, with no coding region annotated. NCBI's taxonomy places the organism in Eukaryota, Metazoa, Chordata, Mammalia, Chiroptera, Vespertilionidae. The record is from RefSeq and is a predicted model, not a curated record. The transcript has 5 exons.
AAGAGGGCGCAAACACUUCAUCCUCACAGUCAAAGCAAAAGCCCACACCCUACGAGAUUCUUUGGAGAAAACCUGAGAACUCAUCAACUGGUUGUAAAGAAGCUCUGAUUCGAUGGGAUUUUAGAACCAUGGGCCUGAGAAGGAACUGAGACUGUUGUGUGCAGUGGUUAGGAGGGAAGUGGUAGUCAGACAGACUUUGAAUUGGACCCCUUCUCUGCCUGAUACCUGUUGGGACUGUGACCAUGGAAAUUCAAACUAUUAUGGAAGCUCAAUUGAACAUUACUCCUUUCAACUUCAGUGAAUCCAGGACCGGCCAAGGGCUUGGAAAUCAAGAUUCAGAACUGCGACUUGUCUUAGUGGGUAAGACUGGAGCAGGAAAAAGUGCCACAGGAAAUAGCAUCCUUGGAAAGAAAGCAUUUAAUUCCAGCAUUGCAGCAAAAUCUAUCACCAAGGCCUGUCAGAAAGAGAGAAGCAUGUGGAAUGGGAGAGAAAUAGUUGUCGUGGACACACCUGGCAUUUUCGACACUGAGGUACCGGAUGCUGACACACAAAGGGAGAUAGCUAAUUGCAUCCUCCUGACUUCCCCUGGCCCUCACGCUGUGCUCCUGGUGGUCCCGCUGGGCCGGUACACCAAUGAAGAGGAAAAGGCAGUGGAGAAGUUGCUGUCAAUGUUUGGACCCAAAGCUAGGAGAUACAUGAUUCUAUUAUUCACCCGGAAAGAUGACUUGGAUGGUAUGGAGUUCAAUGAUUACUUAAAAGAAGCUCCACAAGGCAUUCAAGAUCUGGUAGAGCAGUUCACAGGUCGUCACUGUGAGUUCAACAAUAAGGCGACAGGGGCUGAACAGGAGGCUCAGAGGGCACAGCUGCUGGAAUUAGUCCAGCGCAUGGUGAUGGAGAACCAGGGAGGAUGCUAUACUAAUACUAUGUACCAAAGGGCUGAGGUGGAGAUUCAGAAACAAAUUCAAGUCAUACGAGAACAACUCAGAGAAGAUUUGAAGAGAGAGAAGAGGCAGUUAGUAAAGGAGUAUGAAGAAAAAAUCAGAAAGCUGGAGGAUAAACUAGAGCAAGAAAAGAGCAAGGUAGAAAUGAAGAGGGAAUUGGCAGAAAGGGAGAGUCACUAUGUUUUAAGGCAGCAAAAUGCCAGAAGUGAGGUUGAGAGUCAGAAAGGGAUGCUUGACAUAAUCUUGGCAGCAUUAAACAUUGCUUCCUUUUUAUUCUCAUUUCUGUUCAAGGAAGGUAAAGCUUAAUGAAAAUCUGUCUAUGUCUCCUGUGUAUUUUCAAGUGUUCCUUCCCCACAUAUCUCAUUCCCCCCAAAUCUGUUUCUAUCUCUUAAGCUCUCAGGACUGUAGUAAAGUUUUUUGUUGUCAAUUAGUAGAUAUUUCAUUUAUUCUACAAGAAGAGACACAUUCUCAAUUUGUAAAACUCCAAAGCAGAAAGUAUGGAUAAUCCCUAUCUACUGAGCUCUUUCUCAGAAACAGAGAAGGGGAAUGCAUGAGACCAAAAGACGGUGACUCCAAGCUUUCUGUAUUUAUCCCUAGUAACCGUUUCUCCUCUAGAAUCUUCCUAGAUUGUUACAUAAUCUCCACCUGUGACUUCUUCACAUUUUAACCUUUGGAAUGACAAUGAUCAUUUUACCUAUGUUGUUAGAUAAAUCAAUUAUUUUUAUUAGAUAAUCUAUAGAUAGAGAUGCUUAUGGAAUUCUUUCUAUAAGUACAUAAAUUUGUUGAAUUUAAUUUUUAUGGAAGGACUGAAAUUGUUCCUUAUCAUCUGCCCACUGGAGAACAGAGAUUUGUCUGGAACAUGUUUUUCAGAACUCAACUAAGUGAAAUGCCAGAAAGAGAAAAAGGCAAGAGAUUCAGCAGCUAAGAGAACAAUGUUCAGUAUAUUCAGAUGUUUCUGUAAAAAGUUGUUGACCAACCUCAGUGUAACCACUUUGCUGAAUAACUAGUUCUCUUUUUUUCUUGUGAAACUAACUGUUGCCACCACACCUUCAUCACCCCACACCUUGAUUACUUACUGCUAGGUGCAUCAUCCCCACACUACUGCCUCCACUCAUUUGAAUUGUUUGCUCAUUGUUACUAUAAUAAAAAGUUUUAUUCUCUCUUA